UUACCCAUUCCAGCAUUUUUCUCACUUUUCCUCUUCCAAAAUUUUAGUUCCCCUCAAUCCUGCAAUUUUAUUUUGAAUUGCUUUGUGUAUUGACGGCUGGAUGCACCCAAAGACUAACUCAAGACUUGUACUAUAUUUGCUCAAUAUAAAGGAAUAGUAGAAGCUAUUUAUUAUCUUGUUAAUGUUUAACUCAUGCAAGGGCAGUUGAAGUGCUAUACCAAUAGGGAACUGAAGUGUUGCAUCUGCAUGUAGGAGACAAGAAAAAGCUUGGCAUGAUUUUGCACAUUUUUAGAUCCUAUUAAGCAGUUGAUUUUUCUAUCCACGCUAGUUGGGUAAGGUAUGUGUAUGGCUAAGAUCUUUCGUUGCUAUUUGAUUCAUCAUGUUCUCCAUUUUAACCAUUAACAUAUCAUAUUAGUCCAUAAUUUUUUUUUAAAUCAUUGAAUUAUUCAUGAAUUUCAGUUCUGUACUUGUUAUUCUAUUGAUUAUUAGGUUGCAGACAGAUAGAGAUGGUUAUUCCACCACCAGUUAAG
RNAcentral lists this unclassified non-coding RNA (530 nucleotides) under Hevea brasiliensis (rubber tree). The record is from RNAcentral. Lineage: Eukaryota; Viridiplantae; Streptophyta; Magnoliopsida; Malpighiales; Euphorbiaceae.